Molecule: ribosomal RNA, 497 nt
Filed under: uncultured bacterium
Lineage: Bacteria
Description: partial 16S ribosomal RNA
Rfam family: Bacterial small subunit ribosomal RNA
Source: RNAcentral
GAUGAACGCUGGCGGCAUGCCUAACACAUGCAAGUCGAACGGAAAGACGAGGAGUUUGUUCUGUUGACGUGAGGGGAGCGGGGGGGUGAAACAUGUGUAAAACCCACCUAUAUGACGGGGAAAACCUCGGGAAAACGGAGACUACAACGGAUAAGAUACUGAAGCGCAGGGGGCGAUAGUGAAAGACGGCUUUUCUGUAAAUAAUAGCGGGUUCUGAGCGGCAUUAGGUAGUUGGUAAGGUAACGGCUUACCAAGGCAACGAUGCGUAGCCGACCUGAGAGGGUGAUCGGCCACACUGGAACUGAGACACGGUCCAGACUCCUACGGGAGGCAGCAGUAGGGAAUGUUCCGCAAUGGGCGAAAGCCUGACGCAGCAACGCCGCGUGUGUGAUGAAGGCCUUCGGUUCGUAAAGCUCUGUUAUUGGGGAGGAACAGAUGUGUAAGUAGAUAUGCACGUAUUGACGGUACCUGAUCAAGAAGCCCCGGCUAACUACGUG